Molecule: ribosomal RNA, 496 nt
Filed under: uncultured bacterium
Lineage: Bacteria
Description: partial 16S ribosomal RNA
Rfam family: Bacterial small subunit ribosomal RNA
Source: RNAcentral
AUGAACGCUGGCGGCGUGCCUAAUACAUGCAAGUCGAGCGAACAGACGAGGAGCUUGCUCCUCUGACGUUAGCGGCGGACGGGUGAGUAACACGUGGAUAACCUACCUAUAAGACUGGGAUAACUUCGGGAAACCGGAGCUAAUACCGGAUAAUAUAUUGAACCGCAUGGUUCAAUAGUGAAAGACGGUUUUGCUGUCACUUAUAGAUGGAUCCGCGCCGCAUUAGCUAGUUGGUAAGGUAACGGCUUACCAAGGCGACGAUGCGUAGCCGACCUGAGAGGGUGAUCGGCCACACUGGAACUGAGACACGGUCCAGACUCCUACGGGAGGCAGCAGUAGGGAAUCUUCCGCAAUGGGCGAAAGCCUGACGGAGCGACGCCGCGUGAGUGAUGAAGGUCUUCGGAUCGUAAAACUCUGUUAUUAGGGAAGAACAAAUGUGUAAGUAACUAUGCACGUCUUGACGGUACCUAAUCAGAAAGCCACGGCUAACUACGUG